CCAACAUUGAGAUCUUCGAAAAAAGUUGACAACGAGUUGGCAACAGCAACAUAAUAACUUCCAAACAAAUCCGUCAAAUGUCACAGCUUACUGUCGCCACAUAGCGGUUCAAUACCUUUGAUCUCUAAUACUCGUACAAACAGAAUUACAUACUUACAAAUGUAUUCACCUAUGCUCGAACGAAAUCGCGAAGGUACACUUGUUCGUCAAUUACGAGAAGCGAGCGCAAGACCUUUACUCGAAUAUAAAUAUAAACGGAAAAGAGGCAGAAAAAAUAAACGAGAAUAUCAAGAACACCGUAAUUGCUUACGAUCGUCGGCAACAUUUCAACUUGUUUUAAUGUAAUUUAUUAAACGACUCAAUAAGAUGAAAUAUAUGCUGGCAAUAAAAAUUGAUAUAAUACUUGAAAUACGUCAACUUCCCUACUUCAUUUGAUACGCUUGUAGGUGCUUAAGCUCAUUUAGAACUUCCUGCUUGCCGCCGGGCUUUGUCCUUGCAACCCAACUGCUGCUGCCACUCCACUCAGCCUGGUCACUCGUUUUUCAAUUUCAACUCAAAGCCACGACUGCCGGUUCUUUGUGCUUUUCUUGAACGCUUUGUGACAUUUUUUCUUACGACAAUUUGAUUCCGUUUGUUUUUCUGCUCUGUGCUCUCAUUUGCGGACGGCGCUUCGCUUUGCUGUGAUCAUUAAAUGUUUCAUUUGUCUCAAUAAAUUCUUUGCUAAUAAAGUAGGUUGAUAUAUUCUGUUGCUUUUGAUCGCGUGCGACAGUUAGUUUGCACGAGAUCACGAGAUUACUACCCUGAUUGAACUUUUCCAUAUUAGCUGUGAUAUGUACAUAUGUAAUUUAUGUAGGAAUGUGAGGUAUAAAUUUAUUCAGAAUUUAUUUAUGAUUGAAAAUGUUUUCAAUACGAAACUAUAAAAUUCUUUAAAAUAAAAUUGCUUCUCGAAACAAACAUUCGACUUUGAGGGUAUUUAAUAAUUUAGCCACUUUACUAACAUACAGUUUACAGUUCACAACAAAUUUCUUGCAAUUUUGGUACAAAAAUUGCAUAAAGUUGUGAGAAGAUCCCGGAGGUCUUUCUAACGUGAGAGGAUGCCACUAAAUGCGUUCAUUUUAUGGAAACGUGUUCCUUAUUACCCUGAGGUUAAGAUCCGAAUGAAGCGACUCUCUCCUUAAGCUGCAGCUUAGAUUGACUAUUACACCGACGAUGCAAACAGGGCAGAAAGUAUUGGCACAUAGUCGUGAGUGCACAUAUUGGGGCAAAUUUCUUCUGUUAAUGUAUUUGCAAUUUAUCUCUACAGCGACACGAUUUAUUAAGUUUGAUGUAAACAAAAGCCAAACAACAUCGCACCUUGGGAAAAUAAAUAGUCCUUCAGUAGGUUUAAUUGUGGCAUUGUAUAUAGGUAACUGCAGACUCUGGAACUAUUCUCCUCAGAAAACUAUUGAUACUGCGGCAAAAAAAACAGUGAAGAAUGAAGACCACAAUAGACCAUGGAUUGCGGUGUAAACCCCAGUUUCCAUAUAUUAUAUUUUAAGCCAUGUACUCUAAAGAUGCCAUUUAUUUUAUUCACUAUAUAAGUUCCUGAAUAGUUUUUAUACAAAUUUGAUUCUAAAACUUCCUAUAUUCGCUAACCAAAUAAUAUUCCUAUAUAUCUCACUUAUUAAUCGUAUAUUCGUAUACGGUACGAAGUCAUCGUAGAUUCUUAACUUUUACAUAUACAAAGUUACAAAUAUUUCAAUAAAAGAAAAAGUGUGCAACUUGUUUCAUUUUUACAAAGAGCGUAUAUAAAA
Bactrocera oleae (olive fruit fly) is the source of this 1793-nucleotide non-coding RNA. NCBI's taxonomy places the organism in Eukaryota, Metazoa, Arthropoda, Insecta, Diptera, Tephritidae. The record is from RefSeq and is a predicted model, not a curated record.